AGAGUCAAAAGGGUACGUUCCCUUUGAGAAGAGCUACCUCCUAGUCUUACUAGAUUUGUUCUUCUGAUUGAAGUUUAUCGUCAUAUGAGAAACUUCCUCGCAUCUUUUGUCUAUCAUUAGGGCUUGAUAUAAUCCAAUUAUAUCCUAAAAUCUAUCAUUAUAGAUUUCCAUCCCAUGUUUAUAGACUAUGUCUCCAUAUACAUUCUAUCGUUAUAGAAUGUUUAAAGUCAUAACUUUAACGAAGAAGUAUUCUUUUCAUUUCCAAAAUUAAUAUAUCAUAUAUGUGUCUAUAUAUAUAUAUUCAAAUUUAGGAACAUGAUUAAUUCCCACUAAUCUUUUGUAAACCUAGUAAACAAAAGAUUCAUUUACAUCUUUAUGAGAAAUCAAACGAUUUGAUCUUUCUCUCAUAAGAUGCUUAUAGCUCCCACUAGCUUGCUAAGAUUCAUGGUGGAUGGAUCUCUACAACUUACAUGUCUUGUGAUUCAUAGUUUUAGACAUAUAUUAUCAAGACUAUCUUAAUA
This 521-nucleotide long non-coding RNA is filed under the name Malus domestica (apple). RNAcentral describes it as "long non-coding RNA (MDOM_LNC021081)". Lineage: Eukaryota; Viridiplantae; Streptophyta; Magnoliopsida; Rosales; Rosaceae. The record is from RNAcentral.